CUCGACACCCUGUUUUUUGGCCUGGACAAGAGGCAUUUUCGUAUUUCACCAUUUUUAGAAGAAAUUGUACAGUUGAAGGGGCCACAAGCAGCUUUUUGUCUAACAUUGGCUUUGAUUUUGGUGCUCCAACUGUACCAUAUUUUCUACUUUUGGGGCAAUAAAUAGGCUCACGUUUCUCUUUCUUCUCUCUCUUUCAUAGAAAAUUGCUCUGAAUAGAAAUAGCUAGAGUUUGUUCCUUUGGUGUUCUUUGUUGUGUGUUUUUUGUUUAAUUUCUUGCUGUUGUGCAUAUAUUUUCGUUUUCUUACUAUUUUUUGUUGUCAGUUUGAAGCUCCAAUUCUUCAAAGUGCAAAAUGGAGGGUGGUCCCCUCGGGGCACUUCUCCUCUGACAAAGAACGGGUUCUCUCAAAGUUGACAGAUCAGAGAUUGUGAGUUCGAUUUUUAGAGUUGUUGGAAGGCAAGGCACAUACUGGAAGGCAGGAGUGUUUUAAAAGGCACUUUGACAGUCCAGUUGGAGAGGUGCUCGGACUCUGAUCAGUUGGGGCACAUCCCGUGAUUUAACUGGUCUGUGUGAAGAGGGAUUAGAUCACAUAUCCAAAGAAUAAUCGUCGAAGAUGGACACCUUGAUAAAAUAAAAUAAAAUAAAAAUGGAGGGCGACGGUGCUACUAGCAAUGCGCAAGGGACUGCUUGUCGAUGUGUACGGUGCGGGUCGUGCUUUUAUAGGGUACAAUUCUCUUUUCUUAUCUAACUUUGUUCACUUUUUUUUUUUUUUUUACAAGGUGUCCGGGCUUGCGUCCGACUAGAUCCUUGUCCCUGAACCUCCGGCCCCUCAGCAGCUCAGGGAGGUAAAUCGCAGGAUGUGCCCUUGUUGGCUCCCAGGUUCCCACAACUCAUUUGGACUCCUUCCGCAAAGAGAGCUCUCCUCGCUGGGCGUUUGUUCAACCAAAUGGCUUCCUCUCCAUUUAGCACCCAGUGUUAACUCCAGGAAUCGAACUCUCCACCCUUGCUUCCAGCGUCCCAGCGAAGUGAUUGUUCCACCAACUCGGCUGUGCCCUGGGGGGCAACUUUGUUCACUUUUAUACCGCAGCUGUACUGGUAGAGGCCAAACGGAUUAUUUCCCUCUACAACCAUGUUCAUUAUGCCACAAUCAUGGAUGUGGAGCAGUGCAAAGCUUGCUAUUACUAAAGUUCAUAGGGACAUAAUUAACCGUGUAUGUUGGCUUCUUGAAUUUUUGCUCCUUUUUUCAUGUGUUGAGAUUCUAGAAUUUCAGAGAACAAUUCAAGUUUGUGUGAUGGUUUUGCCAUAUAUGAUGCGUGUACCUAUGAUCCCC
RNAcentral lists this long non-coding RNA (1328 nucleotides) under Olea europaea subsp. europaea. Lineage: Eukaryota; Viridiplantae; Streptophyta; Magnoliopsida; Lamiales; Oleaceae. The record is from RNAcentral.